This 253-nucleotide ribosomal RNA is filed under the name uncultured bacterium. RNAcentral's name for it is "partial 16S ribosomal RNA". It matches the Rfam family "Bacterial small subunit ribosomal RNA", at positions 524 to 776 of the family's 1533-position model. The record is from RNAcentral.
CACGUAGGGUGCAAGCGUUGUCCGGAAUUAUUGGGCGUAAAGGGCUCGUAGGCGGUUUGUCGCGUCGGGAGUGAAAACACGGGGCUUAACCCCGUGCCUGCUUCCGAUACGGGCAGACUAGAGGUAUGCAGGGGAGAACGGAAUUCCUGGUGUAGCGGUGAAAUGCGCAGAUAUCAGGAGGAACACCGGUGGCGAAGGCGGUUCUCUGGGCAUUACCUGACGCUGAGGAGCGAAAGUGUGGGGAGCGAACAGG